AGACGUCUACAUUAGACUACCCCGGUAGUCCCAGCCGUAAACUAUGCGCGUUAGGUGUAUCGGUGACCACGAGUCACCGAGGUGCCGAAGGGAAACCGUGAAACGUGCCGCCUGGGAAGUACGGUCGCAAGGCUGAAACUUAAAGGAAUUGGCGGGGGAACACCACAACGGGUGGAGCCUGCGGUUUAAUUGGACUCAACGCCGGGAAGCUCACCGGAUAAGACAGCGGAAUGAUUGCCGGGCUGAAGACUCUGCAUGACUAGCUG
Molecule: ribosomal RNA, 266 nt
Filed under: uncultured archaeon
Lineage: Archaea
Description: partial 16S ribosomal RNA
Rfam family: Archaeal small subunit ribosomal RNA
Source: RNAcentral